GCAGAACCAGCAGAUUUACUUCGGUAAUGACGCUGGGGACGCGAGCGGCGGAUGGGUGAGUAACACGUGGGGAACCUGCCCCAUAGCCUGGGAUACCACUUGGAAACAGGUGCUAAUACCGGAUAAGAAAGCAGAUCGCAUGAUCAGCUUAUAAAAGGCGGCGUAAGCUGUCGCUAUGGGAUGGCCCCGCGGUGCAUUAGCUAGUUGGUAAGGUAACGGCUUACCAAGGCGAUGAUGCAUAGCCGAGUUGAGAGACUGAUCGGCCACAUUGGGACUGAGACACGGCCCAAACUCCUACGGGAGGCAGCAGUAGGGAAUCUUCCACAAUGGACGCAAGUCUGAUGGAGCAACGCCGCGUGAGUGAAGAAGGUUUUCGGAUCGUAAAGCUCUGUUGUUGGUGAAGAAGGAUAGAGGUAGUAACUGGCCUUUAUUUGACGGUAAUCAACCAGAAAGUCACGGCUAACUACGUGCCAGCAGCCGCGGUAAUACGUAGGUGGCAAGCGUUGUCCGGAUUUAUUGGGCGUAAAGCGAGCGCAGGCGGAAGAAUAAGUCUGAUGUGAAAGCCCUCGGCUUAACCGAGGAACUGCAUCGGAAACUGUUUUUCUUGAGUGCAGAAGAGGAGAGUGGAACUCCAUGUGUAGCGGUGGAAUGCGUAGAUAUAUGGAAGAACACCAGUGGCGAAGGCGGCUCUCUGGUCUGCAACUGACGCUGAGGCUCGAAAGCAUGGGUAGCGAACAGGAUUAGAUACCCUGGUAGUCCAUGCCGUAAACGAUGAGUGCUAAGUGUUGGGAGGUUUCCGCCUCUCAGUGCUGCAGCUAACGCAUUAAGCACUCCGCCUGGGGAGUACGACCGCAAGGUUGAAACUCAAAGGAAUUGACGG
Molecule: ribosomal RNA, 880 nt
Filed under: uncultured bacterium
Lineage: Bacteria
Description: bacterial SSU rRNA
Rfam family: Bacterial small subunit ribosomal RNA
Source: RNAcentral